GACGAACGCUGGCGGCGGGCUUAACACAUGCAAGUCGAACGGAAGGACCCAGCUUUCGUCUGGUGCCCGCGGGGCGAGGGGGUGUGUAACCCGGGAGUAACCUUCCCUUUACUUGGGGAUAACUUCAGAAAGGUGGGGCUACUACCUGAGAGCUGCGCCUGCUGCAGGGGGGGGUUCGGAACUCAUCGGCGGUUGUGGAUGGACUCCGGGCUUACCAGCUUGUUGGGGGGGUACCUGCAUACGAAGGCUUUGGCGGCUAGCCGGCCUGGGAGGGUGGACGGCGACAUUGGGACUGAGGUACGGCCCAGACUGCUACGGGAGGCAGCAGGCGGGAAUAUUGCACAGUGGGCGGAAGUCUGAGGCAGCAACGCCGCGUGCGGGAUGACGGCCUUCGGGCGGUAAACCGCUUUCGCCUGUGACGAAGCGUGAGUGACGGUAAUGGGUAAAGAAGCACCGGCUAACUACGUG
RNAcentral lists this ribosomal RNA (468 nucleotides) under uncultured bacterium. RNAcentral describes it as "partial 16S ribosomal RNA". It matches the Rfam family "Bacterial small subunit ribosomal RNA", at positions 28 to 507 of the family's 1533-position model. The record is from RNAcentral.